GCCAUAGCUCAGUGGUAGAGCAAGUGUUCUACAUAGAGAAGGCCCCAUGUUCAAUUCCUGGUGUCUCCU
Molecule: non-coding RNA, 69 nt
Organism: Podarcis lilfordi (Lilford's wall lizard)
Lineage: Eukaryota; Metazoa; Chordata; Lepidosauria; Squamata; Lacertidae
Source: the annotation of a GenBank genome assembly